This 89-nucleotide transfer RNA is filed under the name Clostridiales bacterium. RNAcentral describes it as "tRNA-Ser". It matches the Rfam family "tRNA". Rfam says of the family: Transfer RNA (tRNA) molecules are approximately 80 nucleotides in length. Their secondary structure includes four short double-helical elements and three loops (D, anti-codon, and T loops). The record is from RNAcentral. Lineage: Bacteria; Bacillati; Bacillota; Clostridia; Eubacteriales. RNAcentral also lists the same sequence under 1 other name.
GGAGAGAUGCCGGAGUGGUUGAACGGAGCUGUCUCGAAAACAGUUUAUUACGUAGUGGUACGUGGGUUCGAAUCCCACUCUCUUCGCCA